This 362-nucleotide ribosomal RNA is filed under the name uncultured bacterium. Its description in RNAcentral is "bacterial SSU rRNA". It matches the Rfam family "Bacterial small subunit ribosomal RNA", at positions 958 to 1316 of the family's 1533-position model. The record is from RNAcentral.
AACGCGAAGAACCUUACCAGGCCUUGACAUGYUAGGGAACCCGGGUGAAAGCCUGGGGUGCCCCGCGAGGGGAGCCCUAGCACAGGUGCUGCAUGGCSGUSGUCAGCUCGUGCCGUGAGGUGUUGGGUUAAGUCCCGCAACGAGCGCAACCCCCGCCGUUAGUUGCCAGCGGUUCGGCCGGGCACUCUAACGGGACUGCCCGCGAAAGCGGGAGGAAGGAGGGGACGACGUCUGGUCAGCAUGGCCCUUACGGCCUGGGCGACACACGUGCUACAAUGCCCACUACAAAGCGAGGCCACCCGGCAACGGGGAGCUAAUCGCAAAAAGGUGGGCCCAGUUCGGAUUGGGGUCUGCAACCCGAC